Molecule: ribosomal RNA, 253 nt
Filed under: uncultured bacterium
Lineage: Bacteria
Description: partial 16S ribosomal RNA
Rfam family: Bacterial small subunit ribosomal RNA
Source: RNAcentral
UACGGAGGGUGCAAGCGUUAUCCGGAUUCACUGGGCGUAAAGGGUGCGUAGGCGGGUCUUUAAGUCAGGGGUGAAAUCCUGGAGCUCAACUCCAGAACUGCCUUUGAUACUGAGGAUCUUGAGUUCGGGAGAGGUGAGUGGAACUGCGAGUGUAGAGGUGAAAUUCGUAGAUAUUCGCAAGAACACCAGUGGCGAAGGCGGCUCACUGGCCCGAUACUGACGCUGAGGCACGAAAGCGUGGGGAGCAAACAGG